UGGGGAAUAUUGGACAAUGGGCGCAAGCCUGAUCCAGCCAUGCCGCGUGAGUGAUGAAGGCCCUAGGGUUGUAAAGCUCUUUUGUGCGGGAAGAUAAUGACGGUACCGCAAGAAUAAGCCCCGGCUAACUUCGUGCCAGCAGCCGCGGUAAUACGAAGGGGGCUAGCGUUGCUCGGAAUCACUGGGCGUAAAGGGUGCGUAGGCGGGUCUUUAAGUCAGGGGUGAAAUCCUGGAGCUCAACUCCAGAACUGCCUUUGAUACUGAGGAUCUUGAGUUCGGGAGAUGUGAGUGGAACUGCGAGUGUAGAGGUGAAAUUCGUAGAUAUUCGCAAGAACACCAGUGGCGAAGGCGGCUCACUGGCCCGAUACUGACGCUGAGGCACGAAAGCGUGGGGAGCAAACA
RNAcentral lists this ribosomal RNA (402 nucleotides) under uncultured bacterium. Its description in RNAcentral is "partial 16S ribosomal RNA". It matches the Rfam family "Bacterial small subunit ribosomal RNA", at positions 355 to 774 of the family's 1533-position model. The record is from RNAcentral.